UACCACUAAGCGACAACCCCAGCCCUCUACACUGUUCUUUAAAUUACAAAGACAAACUGUGCAACUUGGCGAGGGUUUGUUAAAUUAAAUUAACCAGUGUCAUUUAUGUCAUUUCAUAGCAGAUUAUUCUGGGGAGGGCAAGCUCACCUCUGUUGCCAAAGUCCAACAUCUUUAUCCCUUUUUCUUCACCCUCAUACUGUGUGAUCAACUAGUAAGAAACCCCGUAUUUAUUUCCCCUGUUGAAUGGGUUCUACCUUGGCACUGUGCAGCUGAGUCAUGUGCUCUGUGAAAAACAAGCUUCUUCAUGAAAGCAGGUUCUGAGAGGCAUUGUUUUAAUGUGCAUGUUUAUAAAGCUCUAGUGACAAACUGCACACCACAUGUCCAGAGUUUAAUUAGGGUCAGAAGAAAGGAAAAUCCCCUAAGAAUACAGAAAGAAAUAUAGGUUAAGCAUCCCUAAUCCCAAAGUGUGAAAUCUGAAAUGCUCCCAAAUCUGAAAUUUUUGGAGCAUUAGCAUGAUACCACAGGUAGAAAAUUCUGUGCCUGACCUCAUGUUAUGGGUUGUGAUCAAGUUUAUUCAGUGUCCCCAAGGGGGAAGAGAUCCUCUCAGCCCCUCUUGCUGCAAUACACAAACUUGUGUGUAUGUGUAUGUGAUGCUGGGGAUUGAACCCAGGAGACUCACGCAUGCUAGGCAAGCACUGCACCACUAAGCCACAUCCCCAGCAUAAAGUUUUGUUUCCUGUACAUAAUUAUUAAAAAUAGUGUAAUGUCAUGUGCAAUGGCAUGCACUUGUAGUACCAGCUACUCAGGAGGCUGAGAACAGGAGCCACUUGAGCCCAGGAGUUUGAGAUCCACCUGGACAAUAUAGUGAGACCCUGUUUAAAAAAUAAAGAAAGAAGGGCUGUAGCUCAGUAGCAAUAAACUCUAAGCACAAGACCCCAGGUUCAAUCCUUAGCACUGCCAAAAAGAAAGAAGAAAAAGAAAAAUGGUGUAUAAAAGUACCUUCUUGUUAUGUGCAUAAGGUAUAUAUGAGAAUAAAUGAACUUCAUGUUUGGAUUUGGUUUCCAUCCCCAAGAUACCUCCUUCUGUAUAUGUACAUAUACAAAAUUCAAACAAAUAAAAUCCAGAACACUUUGGCCCCAAACAUUUCAGAUAAUCUGUAAUGCUGCUUACAAAUUCUGACUCCUUGCUGGCACUUCUACUCUAAGAUACGGGCUAUUCCCACUAAUUCAUGAACCGAAAAGAAUGUGUGGAGCUGGGUGCAGUGACACACCCAUGUAGUCCCAGCUACAUGGGAGGCUGAGACAAGAGGAUAGCAAGUUUGAGACCAGCCUGGGCAACUCAGUGAGACCCUGUCUCAAAAUAAAAUAAAAAACAGUUUGGUGAUACAGCUCAGUGGUAGAAUACUCCUUGGUGCCAUCCCAGUACCAAAAAAUAAAAGAAUCGGAACAGGGACUGAUUCGGGAACUAUGGAGAGAACAGUGAUGCAUAGCUUCCAUUCCUGCCCCUGUGCUUCAAGUCCAAGUGGAGAACCAAAACUAGCAUACAAAACAAGCCCAUCAGACAUUUUGUGAGCUUCAGAAUGCAGCAGUGGGUU
This 1594-nucleotide long non-coding RNA is filed under the name Marmota monax (woodchuck). The record is from RNAcentral. Lineage: Eukaryota; Metazoa; Chordata; Mammalia; Rodentia; Sciuridae.